Molecule: non-coding RNA, 313 nt
Organism: Vicia faba (fava bean)
Lineage: Eukaryota; Viridiplantae; Streptophyta; Magnoliopsida; Fabales; Fabaceae
Source: the annotation of a GenBank genome assembly
GUGUCUUCUCCUCUAUCGCUACCAAAAUAUCCUAACACGGCCGUUCCCCUUCCUUUUUUUUAUUGCACUUUUUCUCUCUCUUUUCUACGUCCCUCUUCUCCUACCUUACUCCAUGUGCGCACAGCGCACCCCCCUCCCGCGUAUUUUAGUCACCGCCACCAUUUCCCGAUUAACCUCUUCUUCACAUCAAAUAUCUUCAUCCCUGUUCUCUUCUCACGCCAAAAUCAAGCCUAAGUUCCAACGAUGGUUCAGCUUUUCGAAAUCAUCGAAUUUCAAUUUUUAUGAUAUAUAUAAUUUUACCAAGUUCUGCUAA